RNAcentral lists this ribosomal RNA (465 nucleotides) under Vreelandella stevensii. RNAcentral's name for it is "partial 16S ribosomal RNA". It matches the Rfam family "Bacterial small subunit ribosomal RNA", at positions 338 to 795 of the family's 1533-position model. The record is from RNAcentral. Lineage: Bacteria; Pseudomonadati; Pseudomonadota; Gammaproteobacteria; Oceanospirillales; Halomonadaceae.
CCUACGGGAGGCAGCAGUGGGGAAUAUUGGACAAUGGGGGCAACCCUGAUCCAGCCAUGCCGCGUGUGUGAAGAAGGCCCUCGGGUUGUAAAGCACUUUCAGUGAGGAAGAACGCCUGGUGGUUAAUACCAAUCAGGAAAGACAUCACUCACAGAAGAAGCACCGGCUAACUCCGUGCCAGCAGCCGCGGUAAUACGGAGGGUGCGAGCGUUAAUCGGAAUUACUGGGCGUAAAGCGCGCGUAGGUGGCUUGAUAAGCCGGUUGUGAAAGCCCCGGGCUCAACCUGGGAACGGCAUCCGGAACUGUCAAGCUAGAGUGCAGGAGAGGAAGGUAGAAUUCCCGGUGUAGCGGUGAAAUGCGUAGAGAUCGGGAGGAAUACCAGUGGCGAAGGCGGCCUUCUGGACUGACACUGACACUGAGGUGCGAAAGCGUGGGUAGCAAACAGGAUUAGAUACCCCGGUAGUC